RNAcentral lists this unclassified non-coding RNA (387 nucleotides) under soil metagenome. Its description in RNAcentral is "partial contains 5.8S ribosomal RNA, internal transcribed spacer 2, and large subunit ribosomal RNA". The stretch from base 1 to 120 matches the Rfam family "5.8S ribosomal RNA", at positions 35 to 154 of the family's 154-position model. The record is from RNAcentral.
GAUGAAGAACGUAGCGAAUUGCGAUAAGUAAUGUGAAUUGCAGAAUUCAGUGAAUCAUCGAAUCUUUGAACGCACCUUGCGCUCCUUGGUAUUCCGAGGAGCAUGCCUGUUUGAGUGUCAUGAAAUUCUCAACCUUUUCAGCUUUCUUUGUUGAUCAGGCUUGGAUGUGGGAGUAUGCGGGCUUCUCAGAAGUCGGCUCUCCUGAAAUGCAUUAGCGGGACCUUUGUUGCCUGGCUUUGGUGUGAUAAUUAUCUACGCCAUUGUAGUCAAGCAGCUUAAAAUGAGGUUUCAGCUUCUAACCGUCUCCCCUGAGACAACUUUUUGACAAUUUGACCUCAAAUCAGGUAGGACUACCCGCUGAACUUAAGCAUAUCAAUAAGCGGAGGA